RNAcentral lists this ribosomal RNA (2771 nucleotides) under Klebsiella pneumoniae subsp. pneumoniae. RNAcentral's name for it is "bacterial LSU rRNA". It matches the Rfam family "Bacterial large subunit ribosomal RNA". The record is from RNAcentral. Lineage: Bacteria; Pseudomonadati; Pseudomonadota; Gammaproteobacteria; Enterobacterales; Enterobacteriaceae.
AGCGUACACGGUGGAUGCCCUGGCAGUCAGAGGCGAUGAAGGACGUGCUAAUCUGCGAAAAGCGUCGGUAAGGUGAUAUGAACCGUUAUAGCCGGCGAUGUCCGAAUGGGGAAACCCAGUGUGAUUCGUCACACUAUCGUUAACUGAAUACAUAGGUUAACGAGGCGAACCGGGGGAACUGAAACAUCUAAGUACCCCGAGGAAAAGAAAUCAACCGAGAUUCCCCCAGUAGCGGCGAGCGAACGGGGAGCAGCCCAGAGUCUGAAUCAGCUUGUGUGUUAGUGGAACGGUCUGGAAAGUCCGACGGUACAGGGUGAUAGUCCCGUACACCAAAAUGCACAGGUUGUGAACUCGAAGAGUAGGGCGGGACACGUGGUAUCCUGUCUGAAUAUGGGGGGACCAUCCUCCAAGGCUAAAUACUCCUGACUGACCGAUAGUGAACCAGUACCGUGAGGGAAAGGCGAAAAGAACCCCGGCGAGGGGAGUGAAAAAGAACCUGAAACCGUGUACGUACAAGCAGUGGGAGCACCUUCGGGUGUGACUGCGUACCUUUUGUAUAAUGGGUCAGCGACUUAUAUUCUGUAGCAAGGUUAACCGUAUAGGGGAGCCGCAGGGAAACCGAGUCUUAACUGGGCGUUAAGUUGCAGGGUAUAGACCCGAAACCCGGUGAUCUAGCCAUGGGCAGGUUGAAGGUUGGGUAACACUAACUGGAGGACCGAACCGACUAAUGUUGAAAAAUUAGCGGAUGACUUGUGGCUGGGGGUGAAAGGCCAAUCAAACCGGGAGAUAGCUGGUUCUCCCCGAAAGCUAUUUAGGUAGCGCCUCGUGAACUCAUCUUCGGGGGUAGAGCACUGUUUCGGCUAGGGGGUCAUCCCGACUUACCAACCCGAUGCAAACUACGAAUACCGAAGAAUGUUAUCACGGGAGACACACGGCGGGUGCUAACGUCCGUCGUGAAGAGGGAAACAACCCAGACCGCCAGCUAAGGUCCCAAAGUCAUGGUUAAGUGGGAAACGAUGUGGGAAGGCACAGACAGCCAGGAUGUUGGCUUAGAAGCAGCCAUCAUUUAAAGAAAGCGUAAUAGCUCACUGGUCGAGUCGGCCUGCGCGGAAGAUGUAACGGGGCUAAACCAUGCACCGAAGCUGCGGCAGCGACACUAUGUGUUGUUGGGUAGGGGAGCGUUCUGUAAGCCUGCGAAGGUGACCUGUGAGGGUUGCUGGAGGUAUCAGAAGUGCGAAUGCUGACAUAAGUAACGAUAAAGCGGGUGAAAAGCCCGCUCGCCGGAAGACCAAGGGUUCCUGUCCAACGUUAAUCGGGGCAGGGUGAGUCGACCCCUAAGGCGAGGCCGAAAGGCGUAGUCGAUGGGAAACAGGUUAAUAUUCCUGUACUUGGUGUUACUGCGAAGGGGGGACGGAGAAGGCUAUGUUAGCCGGGCGACGGUUGUCCCGGUUUAAGCAUGUAGGCUGAUUGUCCAGGCAAAUCCGGAUAAUCAAGGCUGAGGUGUGAUGACGAGGCACUACGGUGCUGAAGUAACAAAUGCCCUGCUUCCAGGAAAAGCCUCUAAGCAUCAGGUAACAUUAAAUCGUACCCCAAACCGACACAGGUGGUCAGGUAGAGAAUACCAAGGCGCUUGAGAGAACUCGGGUGAAGGAACUAGGCAAAAUGGUGCCGUAACUUCGGGAGAAGGCACGCUGGUGUGUAGGUGAAGUCCCUGCGGAUGGAGCUGAGACCAGUCGAAGAUACCAGCUGGCUGCAACUGUUUAUUAAAAACACAGCACUGUGCAAACACGAAAGUGGACGUAUACGGUGUGACGCCUGCCCGGUGCCGGAAGGUUAAUUGAUGGGGUUAUCCGUAAGGAGAAGCUCUUGAUCGAAGCCCCGGUAAACGGCGGCCGUAACUAUAACGGUCCUAAGGUAGCGAAAUUCCUUGUCGGGUAAGUUCCGACCUGCACGAAUGGCGUAAUGAUGGCCAGGCUGUCUCCACCCGAGACUCAGUGAAAUUGAACUCGCUGUGAAGAUGCAGUGUACCCGCGGCAAGACGGAAAGACCCCGUGAACCUUUACUAUAGCUUGACACUGAACAUUGAGCCUUGAUGUGUAGGAUAGGUGGGAGGCUUUGAAGCGUGGACGCCAGUCUGCGUGGAGCCAACCUUGAAAUACCACCCUUUAAUGUUUGAUGUUCUAACGUUGGCCCCUGACCGGGGUUGCGGACAGUGUCUGGUGGGUAGUUUGACUGGGGCGGUCUCCUCCCAAAGCGUAACGGAGGAGCACGAAGGUUAGCUAAUCCUGGUCGGACAUCAGGAGGUUAGUGCAAUGGCAUAAGCUAGCUUGACUGCGAGCGUGACGGCGCGAGCAGGUGCGAAAGCAGGUCAUAGUGAUCCGGUGGUUCUGAAUGGAAGGGCCAUCGCUCAACGGAUAAAAGGUACUCCGGGGAUAACAGGCUGAUACCGCCCAAGAGUUCAUAUCGACGGCGGUGUUUGGCACCUCGAUGUCGGCUCAUCACAUCCUGGGGCUGAAGUAGGUCCCAAGGGUAUGGCUGUUCGCCAUUUAAAGUGGUACGCGAGCUGGGUUUAGAACGUCGUGAGACAGUUCGGUCCCUAUCUGCCGUGGGCGCUGGAGAAUUGAGGGGGGCUGCUCCUAGUACGAGAGGACCGGAGUGGACGCAUCACUGGUGUUCGGGUUGUCAUGCCAAUGGCACUGCCCGGUAGCUAAAUGCGGAAGAGAUAAGUGCUGAAAGCAUCUAAGCACGAAACUUGCCCCGAGAUGAGUUCU